UUCUGCCUCCCCAAGUGCUAAUAUUAAAAGGUGUGCGUCAUCAAUACUACACGGCUAGGUUUUCUGAGAGGGUUUCUCAGAUAGUCCAGUGGUUAAGAGCACUGACUGACUGACUAUUUUGUGGGAUGUGUUCUGCCAGAAACACACUCCUACAACCCUUAGGACAGAGGCUUUGUGGGGUAAGGUCCUGUCAGCCUGCUGGAAGAGUUUACCACAUCAUCAUUCCUUUGCCUACCCCACCCCCAUGCUAUUCUGAUAGUAGCUUCAGUGGGUGGGCCCUCCCAGCUCCCAGUCUGCAAUGCUCAAGGAAAAUCACCCUGGCCAACCAACUGUCCAAACAGCCCAGCGAUCAUUUCCUUGAUAUUCAGGCUUUGGUGGGAAAGAACAGGAGAGCCCUGGGGAUUUGCAGUCUUAGACUAAGAGUCAGCAGAUCACAGAACACGUACCCUCAAGCAGUGUGGUCAGAGAGGACAUCUGGAUCCUCACUCGAGGCCUGGGCUGAACAAGUGAUUUGGUCAUGCUCAGACAGCAAGCCAAUGGACCUAUGGUGCGUGGGGCCUGUGGCCAGCUCUUUUUGGUUUGUCCCAUGGCUUCGAAGGCCCUUUGAUCUUGAGGAAUGGGUUAGUAGUGGAACGGGAAUGGAUGCUUGGGCCAAGUCUGGAUCACAGGACCUCUUCAUUGCUGCUGAGAUUAUCCCCGCCCCACAGAUCAAGAAGAUGAGAGUCCACAGGGAUGCAUAACCUGCUCAUAUCU
This 753-nucleotide long non-coding RNA is filed under the name Rattus norvegicus (Norway rat). RNAcentral describes it as "long non-coding RNA NONRATT008244". The record is from RNAcentral. Lineage: Eukaryota; Metazoa; Chordata; Mammalia; Rodentia; Muridae.